AUCAAGCGCAACCCAAGCACUUCUCUUCAUAUAAGUGCUCCUCUUUAUCGCCCCAUCCCCUAUUUUCUCCCCCUUCUCUCUCUCUGCCCCGUCCCUCUCUCUCUCUCUCUCUCNNNNNNNNNNNNNNNNNNNNNNNNNNNNNNNNNNNNNNNCCAUCUCUCUCUCUCUGCCCCCCGCGUCUCUCUCUGUGCCCCAUCUCUCUCUUUUUCUCUCUGCCCCCCAUCUCUCUCUCUGUGCCCUGUCUCUCUCUCUCUCUCUGCACCCCAUCUCUCUCUCUCUGCGCCCCGUGUCUCUCUCUCUCUGCGCCCCAUCUCUCUCUUUCUGUGCCCAGUGUCUCUCUCUGCACCCCAUCUCUCUCUCUGUGUGUGCCCCGUCUCUCUCUCUCUCUCUGCACCCCCCCUCUCUCUCUUCCUCCAUCUCCCCUUGCCCAACACCCAGUCUCUGCCUGCUUCCUUCGUAGCCUCCUCUGUUGUUUUGUGCAUUAGUUUAGGGUGCAUUAGUUUAGUUACAGAGGUGACAAAGAACAGCCUGAGUUAUUCCUCUUUUAGGCAUUGUGCUCUUUUAAUUCCCCCCCUCCUCUCUUCCUUUGUGUGUGUGUAUACAUGUGUGUGUCUGAGGGGGAGAAAGAGAGGAGAGUGUGUGUAUGUGUGUGCCCCCCUCUCUCCUUCCCCUCACUUUUCUUCAUUUCCUCGUCCUCUCUUUCCCCUCCCCUUUCUUGUGAUUGUGCAUUUGUGUAUGUGUGUCUGCGUGUGAAUGGAUUUCUCUUUUAAGGUGGGGGGGGGAGAAGAAAGAAGAGGCUUGUUUUUCUGAAUAAUAGGUUACUUGUUAAAUUCUGAAACUAUGGAUUCAAAUAGGGGGUUUGGAUCCUGGAGCUCAGGCUACAUAUGUGCUUUGUAUUUCAGAUUAUAGGGCAAACUGUCUUUGAUUCAUCUCUGAAGCUGUCUCCCCACCAAAUGAAGGUUGCAACAGAUCAUACACAAGAACCACACAGCAGGCAUGCACAAACAAUUGUGGUACUCCCAAG
This 1024-nucleotide long non-coding RNA is filed under the name Pogona vitticeps (central bearded dragon). Its description in RNAcentral is "lncRNA (ENSPVIG00000005025.1)". Lineage: Eukaryota; Metazoa; Chordata; Lepidosauria; Squamata; Agamidae. The record is from RNAcentral.